Molecule: ribosomal RNA, 492 nt
Filed under: uncultured bacterium
Lineage: Bacteria
Description: partial 16S ribosomal RNA
Rfam family: Bacterial small subunit ribosomal RNA
Source: RNAcentral
AGUGAACGCUGGCGGUAGGCCUAACACAUGCAAGUCGAACGGCAGCACAGUAAGAGCUUGCUCUUACGGGUGGCGAGUGGCGGACGGGUGAGGAAUACAUCGGAAUCUACUUUUUCGUGGGGGAUAACGUAGGGAAACUUACGCUAAUACCGCAUACGACCUACGGGUGAAAGCAGGGGAUCUUCGGACCUUGCGCGAUUGAAUGAGCCGAUGUCGGAUUAGCUAGUUGGCGGGGUAAAGGCCCACCAAGGCGACGAUCCGUAGCUGGUCUGAGAGGAUGAUCAGCCACACUGGAACUGAGACACGGUCCAGACUCCUACGGGAGGCAGCAGUGGGGAAUAUUGGACAAUGGGCGCAAGCCUGAUCCAGCCAUGCCGCGUGAGUGAAGAAGGCCUUCGGGUUGUAAAGCCCUUUUGUUGGGAAAGAAAAGCAGCAGAUUAAUACCCCGCUGUUCUGACGGUACCCAAAGAAUAAGCACCGGCUAACUUCGUG